Molecule: long non-coding RNA, 2826 nt
Filed under: Amborella trichopoda
Lineage: Eukaryota; Viridiplantae; Streptophyta; Magnoliopsida; Amborellales; Amborellaceae
Description: long non-coding RNA (ATRI_LNC002666)
Source: RNAcentral
GCCCCCACUACUCCCUUACCUUUUCUCCAUCUUAAUUUAUCUCUCUCUCCCUCGUCUUACCUUCUCCCUCUCCACUCAUUCUUCCUUCCUCUCCCUUACCUCCUUUUAAUGUGGCCUCUUUCCUCCGUUGCAUUUUCUACCUCGUCAUUUAUUUCUCUCCCAUAAUAGUGAGCCCCCCAGUUCAACUUCUCCCAUAACUCCACGCACUCUCUCUCCCUCUCACUUAUUCUCUCUCUCUGGCCUUCACACAAGACAUGCCUUCUCUCCUAUUCAUACAACAAACACAUUCUCCCUCUCACUUACGCACUCCUCUCUCAAGCUUUCACUUCUCAUCUCUCACCUUGAACUGGAGAGGGAGAGAACACAAGCUUAUACAAACUCGUUCUCUUCUAGCUAGAGGGGGAGAACGGAAUUUUUGAGAAUCAUAUGAAGUCUCGCCGGAUUAAGCUCGGAUCUCUGCCAUCUUUUAAAGCUUGGCAAGGCUCAAUCCAUGAAUACCCAAUCGAAGGUCCCUAGGCCCUUCUACAAUCCCGAUCAAUUUCUACAAAAGUACAAAUUGAGCACCUUUGGCUCACGACUUGAUAGACAACGGGAAUAGUCCUAUCGCACCAACAUCUCUGAUCUAGGCCGCCAACUCCAGGUGACGGGCCUGUGGACCUGCUUCACUCCAAGCAAGCUUAAUCUAUUCUCUCAGUCAUGUAACUUGUUUUAUUAGUUUAUCUAAUUAAUAUUGUUGCUCUACUUGUAAGAUGUUGUCCAAAGUUUCCCUAUUUUCCCUUAGGAUUCAAAAUUUUCUUUUUUUAUUUUUGGUUUUAAGGUGAACUUUAGCUGACACGGCCAGCGGAUCACCAAAGAGGGGGACCAAAGGAUCUUUUUCUUUUGUGGUCCAUAAUUUAACAGAACCUCCUAAUCUACCAUUGGUUGAUGGUUUACACGAGAAAUUAGGUGGGUACUAUUUUCUCUAACAAUUUCGCAUAUAAACACUUACCUCCCUUAACGUCCACUUUUUCCCUAGCCAUGGUAAGGACAGGCUGGUGUGGAUUCCAGCGACCUCGGCUACACCAAAAUGCUUCCCCGCAAGGCCUGGAUCUUCCCCCCACCCUAACACCAAUAGAAAGGUUGAAGUCUUCACCUGGCUGGUAAUAAACAAAAGUACUCCCAUAGUGGAGCAGCUCCAAAGGAGAGCUCUAUAGAUCAGUGUAGGUAAAAUCAGGCGGUUCAAAUUCUAACCGCCCAAUUAGACCCAGUUAGAUUCGAACCGGCCACUAGCCGGUUCCGGUUUCAGCAAGUUUUAGGGAACCGUCAGGUAUUUGAAAAAAAUUCAAAACAAAAUUAUAUAAAAUCCUAAAAAGUAAGGGAUUUUUUUUGUUUGUAAUGCAUUUUUAAUGUUUUCCAUCAUUUUGGCAAAGAUCAGAAAUUAUUUUGGCCAUUAAUACUUAUUUUUAUAUUUUCCCAUCUUUUUUAGAAAAUUUCAAAAAUAUCCUUGAGCAAAAAUCGAUUCUUUAAAAACCAAUAUUUCAUUAAUUUUCAACUUCAUUUGGAUGUACUUUGUUUAAUUAUACUUUAAAUAUACUUUUCAUAUUUUAUUUUUUUGUAUGUUUUUAUUUUUUAACUACUAUUUUGUACCACCCGGGACUUGCCAGGUUAGGCCGGUUGAGCCAGCCAGUUUACCAGUUAGACCGGUUAAACCGCUCCCGGUCCCAUGUCAGGCUAACCAUUCCAGUUCGAUUUUUUCUACACUGCUACAAAAGCCUAGCCGUUAAAUUAUGUGCAAGGCUAGUGAGGUAUAUGUUGACCAUCUCUUCCUGCACUGUCCACUGGCUGGGAAGUUUUGGUCCUUCCUAUUAAAUCUUUUUGGUGGACAGUGGGAUGUAACAGGAUCUACCCUCAAGUUUGCUUCUUUGGUGGACCCCAGUCCUGGUCCUUCUGUGGGCCAUUUGGCGGAAGCAUAACGGACAAAUUUCCAUAGGCAGGGAAGUGCAGCCCGGGGCUAUCAAGGACAACAUCAAGGCCACCAUUAUAGAGUGGGCUAGAUAGUGAAAGGAAUACAAGAGCAACACUGCCACAGACUUCCUACUAGACUGGGGAGCCAAUAAGAGGUCUGUAGAAAGGUCUAUAACUAGAUCUGCCCAUUGCUUUGAUCUGGAUCCAGACACUAUCAAACUGAAUUUUAAUGGGUGCUCUCUUGGUAAUCCGGAGAUUGUGGGCAUUGGAGGUAUUAUUAGAGAAAUUUCGGAAUCGGAUUUCAUGCUACCAUCGUAAUCAGGACCGAUAAGCUUUGUCAACCUCAGCCAAGGCUCACACACUCCUUGAAGGCCUCAAAUUGUCUGAUCAAAGGGGACUACACUGGCCCAAAAGGUUAUCCAAUUGUUUCUGGUGACCAAAGCAAGUAUAUUGACCAGAUAUUUGGGCUGAUUAGCUCCCUGUGACAUACUUGGUGCAAGGCCAAGCAUAUCGCAGAUUCCCACUCAAACCAAACUUUGCAAUUAACCACCCUCUUCAGAAGGCCGGUCCUGUUGUCUCUCUUGUGCAAAACAAACUAUAAGUUUUGUUAAUGAGUCCCUGGUUUUUCUUUCUUUUUGUAUAGACCAGUGACUUGGUAAUUAUUUUACUUAUAACAUCUAUGUAUAAUCUGUAUAUCCUCAUAAAUUAAUACAAUAGAGUGAAUUUCAUAAAAAAAAACAGUGCAACACAAUAACACAAUGAGCUUUUUUCCCGAUCCUUAAAUGCUUUGCUAAUUGCUAAACAUUCUUAAUUAAGCCCCUUAACAUGCAAAAAGAACUAAACACGUUGUGAAAGCCCGUGUAAGCUCAAAUUAGCAAGAAA